This is a long non-coding RNA of Pipra filicauda (Wire-tailed manakin), 998 nucleotides long. RefSeq lists it as uncharacterized. The transcript is spliced from 2 exons. Lineage: Eukaryota; Metazoa; Chordata; Aves; Passeriformes; Pipridae. The record is from RefSeq and is a predicted model, not a curated record.
CAGCCCGUUCCGCAGCGGGACGGACAGGGAGGGGGGACCGGCUCCCCAUGGGAUGUGCUGCACCUGGCACUGCGGCGUCUGGGCGGGCGGCGAGGCGGGAAGAGGAGGAACGCAGUUAACCCUGGAUGGCGAACACGGCUGGUGCUGGAGACAAGGCGUGAGCUCACCGCCGCGUUCCCUCAGCGUUCUGACAACAUCUUUGGAUUUCUCUGAAGAGUUCCACAAGUGGAAAGUGGAUUUCACUUUGCAGGAGCCUUAAUCCAGUGGAGAAUACAACAUGUUGGGAAUCCCUUGUGAGUGUCCUGUCAUAGUAGAUAAAAUAAGAUGGCAAGUGAAAUUUCAUGGCAUCUAACUUUGAACCAAAAUGUGUCCUAUCACUUUAAAUGAAUGGCUUUACUUGGGGUCAGUCGUAACCAAAGAAAGUUGUCAUGGAAACCUUGAUAGGAUAAUUAUCCGGGCAGAGCAAUAAGGCCCCAGAGACUGUGUAAUCCGGUGGCCAUUUAUUCUGGAAGAGUUGGGCUUCUGUCUAGUAAAGGAGUAUGAUUUGGUUGAUUAAAAUAAAUCUGCUCUUGUCUAGCAAAGGCAAUUACUGCAUGGCACUUCAAUUUAUUCACUGGUAAAAAUAUUCUAAAACUGUUUAGAGAAGCCCAAGUGUGGUCGCUAAAGAAGUUUUUGUUCCGGAACUUAAUUUUGCUCCAAGUUCUCCUCCCUUCCACAUUGUCCACACUCUUGCUGUAAUUACCAUGAUCAUGUUCUUUCCUGUUAGCUUGGUAUCUCUGUAUUACACUCCAUUACAUAUUGUACACGUAACCAAAGUGCCAAUUAUACCACUUGAGAUAAAUAUCAUCCUGUACAAAAAGAAUGUGCAUAAUUAGUCUUGUUCAAUUUGUUCAUUUCACAGUGUAAGUGCAAAGGGCUAAAAUAAUCACACGAUUGUAGCUGAAAAUGUUUAAAAAGUACUUGAAGUACUUCUGUGAAAUAGAUGAUUGGAAAGCUUA